This 1349-nucleotide ribosomal RNA is filed under the name Triticum aestivum (bread wheat). RNAcentral describes it as "partial small subunit ribosomal RNA". Lineage: Eukaryota; Viridiplantae; Streptophyta; Magnoliopsida; Poales; Poaceae. The record is from RNAcentral.
UUAUAAUCGAUCAUAUAGGGAUUUUUCUUGAAGGGUGGGAAAGAGAUGUGCGAGGUGUGGAUGGACGGACCAUCACGGCCACCAAUUCCCAAAAUAAGGUUUCUUGGUUACAUGGCUUCAGAUGCUUUACACAUUUGAGCUGUCAAGACAAAUUAGAACAUUACUCGAGGCCUCUUUAGGGGGUCUUAUGGCUGACCUCCGAAGUUCUUUUUCUUUUGAAGAAUCACCGCGAGAGAGUGGGGAGGGGGCUCCACGAAAAAAACCUCCCCCUUCCCCUCCCGCAGGCGAUAGGGAGGGCCACCCCAGCGCCGCCGGUCUCUACCUCUCCGCCCACCUCCUCCCCUCGCCUUCGCCGGGCAAAGCCCGGUCGGCGUCGGUGGCGGCGGAGCGUUCUCUCCCCUCGGUUGGCGGAGGUUGGCGCGGGCGGGCGUCCUCCGGCUGGUGGCCGCGCGCGACAGCGGUGGGGGCUCGUGCGUGUUCCAUUCCCGUGGCUGCGUCUGGAUGUGGUGUGGAGGGCUGUGCGGGGCCCCUCUAGAGUGGCCGUGGUGGCCGGAUUUGGUUUGUCCAGAUCUGGCCGUCGGCUCCUUGGGGGGCGCGGAGCUUCCCUUUGGUCAUGGUGGCGGCCCCUGGAUGGGAUUUCCCUCCGGUGACGGGUACUGAUGUCGAGCUAGGAGUAGAUGGUGUGUCGUCACUCUUCCUACCGUGGUUGAGUGCGUUGUGAUGUGAGCGGUGCACGCUAUCUCGCGACAGGGAUGCCGGGGCGGCGGCCCCGGAUGGUGGUUCGCAUGGUGGCGGCUUUCCUCCUGGGUUGUGUGGGCAACAGGAGGUGUUGCGACGGGUAGCUCGGACGUGCCCUCUCUCUCUCGGAGGGGCGGCGUCCUGAUCCGGAUCUGGGGACCUGACAUUGUCGCGUUCCUCAUGGCGGCCUCGUGGUGGCACAGAUGAGUUGCCGAGCGAAAACUCCAUGCCUUGGCGCCGAUGACGGCGACACCCGUUGGUGCCGCGCUCUUCUUGAAGACGUUGUUGUGGUUCUUCUCUCCGUGUCAGGGCUCCGGGUGAAGAUCUUUGUCCGUGUGGACUCGGCAGCGGCGACGCUCUGCGCCGUUCUCCCUCUUGGGGGCGUUGUCAUGGAGCUUAGGUGUGCUAGGUUGUAGCGUGGGGUGUGUUUAGUUCUCCCAGUGCUCUUUGCUGGUAGCAUAGUCGCGUGCGUUCUGUGUCUGCCGGUUAUCUCAGGAUUGGCUUUGUAAGAGGGCUACCUCACCAUCUUGUAUCGUUCGGCCAUGUACUUCUUCGGGUGUUGCUUUAUAUAUAAAGCGGGGCUUUCGCCUGUUUCGAGAGGGGGAUCCACC